Molecule: unclassified non-coding RNA, 177 nt
Filed under: soil metagenome
Description: partial internal transcribed spacer 1
Source: RNAcentral
CAAGAAGCCCGAAAGGCUACUUACAACCAUAGCGAACCUAUCCUCACGUUGCUUCGGCGGGUAGGCUCCCCCUCACGGGGGACCGGCAGCCCGCUGCCUCAGGAGGUACGGGCCGCCGCCGGAGGUACGAAACUCUGUAUAUAGCUAGGUAUCUCUGAGUAUACAACAAAUAAGUUA